UACAGAGGGUGCGAGCGUUGUCCGGAAUCACUGGGCGUAAAGGGCGCGUAGGUGGUGGCUUAAGCGUGCGGUGAAAGCUCGGAGCUCAACUCCGAGUCGGCCGUGCGAACUGGGCUCACUGGAGCAUAGUAGAGGCAGGUGGAAUUCCGGGUGUAGCGGUGGAAUGCGUAGAGAUCCGGAAGAACACCGGUGGCGAAGGCGGCCUGCUGGGCUAACACUGACGCUCAGGCACGAAAGCGUGGGGAGCAAACAGG
RNAcentral lists this ribosomal RNA (254 nucleotides) under uncultured bacterium. RNAcentral's name for it is "partial 16S ribosomal RNA". It matches the Rfam family "Bacterial small subunit ribosomal RNA", at positions 524 to 776 of the family's 1533-position model. The record is from RNAcentral.